AUGGGCCCCUGCACCUGUAUGGGAGACCUGGAAGAAGCUGCCAAGGCUCUUGGCUUUGAAUCAGCUCAGCUUUGGCCAUUGUAGCCAUCUGGGGUGUGAACCAGCAGAUGGAAGACCUCUCACUGCUUCUGCCUCUCUAUAACUCUGCCUUUCACAUAAAUAAAUAAAUCUUUAAAAAAAAUCUGUACAGAAACUGGCAGUGCAACACUUUGGGGUGCUCUGCUAUGAGCUGCUGGUGGGAAAUCCACCCUUCGAGAGCGUCUCUCACACUGAGACAUACAGACGCAUCCUGAAGAUGGAUGUGAAGUUUCCUGUAACAAUGUCUUCGGGAGCCCAAGACUUCAUAUCCAGGCUUCUGAGAUACCAGCCGUCAGAGUGGCUGCCCCUGGCCCAGAUCCUGAGGCACCCCUGGGCCCAGGCCCACUCCUGGAAACUUCACAUCCAGCUUAAGGAUGCGUCUGUAUGUCUCAGUGUGAGAGACGCUCUCGAAGGGUGGAUUUCCCACCAGCAGCUCAUAGCAGAGCACCCAAAGUGUUUUACUGCCAUUUUCUGCACAGAUUUUUUUUAAAGAUUUAUUUAUUUAUGUGAAAGGCAGAGUUAUAGAGGGGCAGAAACAGCGAGAGGUCUUCCAUCUGCUGGUUCACGCACCAGAUGGCUACAAUGGCCAAAGCUGAGCUGAUUCAAAGCCAAGAGCUUUUGGAGCUUCUUCCAGGUCUCCCAUACAGGUGCAGAGGCCCAUGUAUGUGGGCCAUCUUCCUCUACUCUCCCAGGCCAUAGCAGAGAGCUGGAUAGGAAGUGGAGCACCUGGGACUCAAACCAGUGCCCAUAUGGGAUGCUGGCACUGCAGGUGGCAGCUUUACCCACUAUGCCACAGUGCCAGCCUCUCUGCACAGCUUUAUUCUGCAGAUGCAUCACCAUUCUAUAUCAAUGAAACCAAGAACACACUACUAUUUCUAUACCUAUAAUGAAAGCCAGAGACAUUAAUAAUCUUUCUGCCAGAAAACUUCCAGUCCAAACCAGGAGUAGAGUUAUGAAUUCAGGCUUAGUGUGGAUGGGGCUGGCACUAUCGUGUGGAGGGUAAAGCCACCACCUGCUUCACCAGCCUGUGUCCUAGAUGGGCACAGGUUCAAGUUUCAGCUGCUCCACAUCUGAUCCAUCUCCAUGCUGAGAUACCUGGGAAAACAGCAGAGGUUGGCCUAAGUGCUUGGGCCCCUGCACCCACUUGGGAGACUUGGAAGAAACUCCAGGCUCCUGACUUCAGGUCAGCCCAGCUCUGGCUGUUGCAGUCAUUUGGGGAAUAAACCAGCAGGUGGAAGAUAUUUUUGCCUCUCU
RNAcentral lists this long non-coding RNA (1332 nucleotides) under Oryctolagus cuniculus (rabbit). RNAcentral describes it as "lncRNA (ENSOCUG00000039521.1)". Lineage: Eukaryota; Metazoa; Chordata; Mammalia; Lagomorpha; Leporidae. The record is from RNAcentral.